This 301-nucleotide ribosomal RNA is filed under the name uncultured bacterium. Its description in RNAcentral is "partial 16S ribosomal RNA". It matches the Rfam family "Bacterial small subunit ribosomal RNA", at positions 509 to 809 of the family's 1533-position model. The record is from RNAcentral.
CAGCAGCCGCGGGAAUACAGAGGGUGCAAGCGUUAAUCGGAAUUACUGGGCGUAAAGCGCGCGUAGGUGGUUUGUUAAGUUGGAUGUGAAAGCCCCGGGCUCAACCUGGGAACUGCAUCCAAAACUGGCAAGCUAGAGUACGGUAGAGGGUGGUGGAAUUUCCUGUGUAGCGGUGAAAUGCGUAGAUAUAGGAAGGAACACCAGUGGCGAAGGCGACCACCUGGACUGAUACUGACACUGAGGUGCGAAAGCGUGGGGAGCAAACAGGAUUAGAUACCCCAGUAGUCCCUGUCUCUUAUCC